UCUGGUUGAUCCUGCCAGAGGCCAUUGCUAUCAGGGUUUGACUAAGCCAUGCGAGUCGAGAGGUGUAAGACCUCGGCAUACUGCUCAGUAACACGUGGUUAACCUGCCCUAAGGUGGAGAAUACUCCCGGGAAACUGGGGCUAAUGCUCCAUAGUGGAUAUGUCCUGGAAUGGUAUAUCCUCGAAAGAUCCGUCGCCUUAGGAUGGGACUGCGUCCGAUUAGGUUGUUGGCGGGGUAACGGCCCACCAAGCCAUUGAUCGGUACGGGUUGUGGGAGCAAGAUCCCGGAGAUGGAUUCUGAGACAUGAAUCCAGGCCCUACGGGGCGCAGCAGGCGCGCAAACUUUACAAUGCGAGCAAUCGUGAUAAGGAAACCCUGAGUGCCUGUCGAUGCAGGCUGUUCAUAUAUCUAAAUCAUAUGUGAAGAAAGGGCAGGGCAAGACCGGUGCCAGCCGCCGCGGUAAUACCGGCUGCUCGAGUGAUGGCCACUAUUACUGGGUUUAAAGCGUCCGUAGCUUGACUGUUAGGUCUCUUGGGAAA
This 538-nucleotide ribosomal RNA is filed under the name uncultured archaeon. RNAcentral's name for it is "bacterial SSU rRNA". It matches the Rfam family "Archaeal small subunit ribosomal RNA", at positions 1 to 549 of the family's 1478-position model. The record is from RNAcentral.